RNAcentral lists this transfer RNA (72 nucleotides) under Camelus bactrianus (Bactrian camel). It matches the Rfam family "tRNA". From Rfam's summary of the family: Transfer RNA (tRNA) molecules are approximately 80 nucleotides in length. Their secondary structure includes four short double-helical elements and three loops (D, anti-codon, and T loops). Further hydrogen bonds mediate the characteristic L-shaped molecular structure. tRNAs have two regions of fundamental functional importance: the anti-codon, which is responsible for specific mRNA codon recognition, and the 3' end, to which the tRNAs corresponding amino acid is attached (by aminoacyl-tRNA synthetases). tRNAs cope with the degeneracy of the genetic code in two manners: having more than one tRNA (with a specific anti-codon) for a particular amino acid; and 'wobble' base-pairing, i.e. permitting non-standard base-pairing at the 3rd anti-codon position. Lineage: Eukaryota; Metazoa; Chordata; Mammalia; Artiodactyla; Camelidae. RNAcentral also lists the same sequence under 3 other names. The record is from Rfam by way of RNAcentral.
CAGGGUAUAGCUCAGUGGUAGAGUGUGUGCUUAGCAUGCAUGAGGUCCUGGGUUCAAUCCCCAGCACCUCAA